UUGGUUUAAAACAUUGUAGGUCUUCACUUUGAAAAUUGAACCCACAUAAAAUAGUGGGACAUACAUUGAUUUUAUCCAA
Molecule: microRNA precursor, 79 nt
Filed under: Medicago truncatula (barrel medic)
Lineage: Eukaryota; Viridiplantae; Streptophyta; Magnoliopsida; Fabales; Fabaceae
Description: MIR5269 microRNA precursor family
Rfam family: MIR5269 microRNA precursor family
Source: Rfam by way of RNAcentral